GGAGAGUAUGCUCAGUGGUAGAGUACAUGCCUAGCAUGCAUGAGGGCCUGGGUUCAAUCCCCAGUACCUCCA
This 72-nucleotide transfer RNA is filed under the name Camelus bactrianus (Bactrian camel). It matches the Rfam family "tRNA". Rfam says of the family: Transfer RNA (tRNA) molecules are approximately 80 nucleotides in length. RNAcentral also lists the same sequence under 2 other names. The record is from Rfam by way of RNAcentral. Lineage: Eukaryota; Metazoa; Chordata; Mammalia; Artiodactyla; Camelidae.